AGACGGAAUCUGAGACAAGAUUCCGGGCCCUACGGGGCGCAGCAGGCGCGAAACCUUUACACUGUACGAAAGUGCGAUAAGGGGACUCCGAGUGUGAAGGCAUAGAGCCUUCACUUUUGUACACCGUAAGGUGGUGCACGAAUAAGGACUGGGCAAGACCGGUGCCAGCCGCCGCGGUAAUACCGGCAGUCCGAGUGAUGGCCGAUCUUAUUGGGCCUAAAGCGUCCGUAGCUGGCUGAACAAGUCCGUUGGGAAAUCUGUCCGCUUAACGGGCA
RNAcentral lists this ribosomal RNA (275 nucleotides) under Halobacterium sp. RNAcentral's name for it is "partial 16S ribosomal RNA". It matches the Rfam family "Archaeal small subunit ribosomal RNA", at positions 294 to 568 of the family's 1478-position model. The record is from RNAcentral. Lineage: Archaea; Methanobacteriati; Methanobacteriota; Halobacteria; Halobacteriales; Halobacteriaceae.